UGCGUAGGCGGCUUAUUAAGUCAGAUGUGAAAGCCCCGGGCUUAACCUGGGAACUGCAUUUGAUACUGGUAAGCUAGAGUAUGGUAGAGGGGGUAGAAUUCCUAGUGUAGCGGUGAAAUGCGUAGAUAUCAGGAGGAAUACCAGUGGCGAAGGCGGCCCCCUGGACCAAUACUGACGCUGAGGUACGAAAGCGUGGGUAGCGAACA
This 206-nucleotide ribosomal RNA is filed under the name uncultured bacterium. Its description in RNAcentral is "partial 16S ribosomal RNA". It matches the Rfam family "Bacterial small subunit ribosomal RNA", at positions 568 to 774 of the family's 1533-position model. The record is from RNAcentral.